UACGGAGGAUGCGAGCGUUAUCCGGAUUUAUUGGGUUUAAAGGGUGCGUAGGCGGGCUGUUAAGUCAGCGGUCAAAUGUCGGGGCUCAACCCCGGCCUGCCGUCGGAACUGGGUGCCUUGAGUGCGCGGAAGGCAGGCGGAAUUCGUGGUGUAGCGGUGAAAUGCUUAGAUAUCACGAAGAACCCCGAUUGCGAAGGCAGCCUGCCGCAGCGUUACUGACGCUGAAGCUCGAAAGCGCGGGUAUCGAACAGG
Molecule: ribosomal RNA, 252 nt
Filed under: uncultured Bacteroidales bacterium
Lineage: Bacteria; Pseudomonadati; Bacteroidota; Bacteroidia; Bacteroidales
Description: partial 16S ribosomal RNA
Rfam family: Bacterial small subunit ribosomal RNA
Source: RNAcentral